RNAcentral lists this ribosomal RNA (979 nucleotides) under Escherichia coli. Its description in RNAcentral is "partial 23S ribosomal RNA". It matches the Rfam family "Bacterial large subunit ribosomal RNA", at positions 911 to 1873 of the family's 2925-position model. Lineage: Bacteria; Pseudomonadati; Pseudomonadota; Gammaproteobacteria; Enterobacterales; Enterobacteriaceae. The record is from RNAcentral.
UGUUUCGGCAAGGGGGUCAUCCCGACUUACCAACCCGAUGCAAACUGCGAAUACCGGAGAAUGUUAUCACGGGAGACACACGGCGGGUGCUAACGUCCGUCGUGAAGAGGGAAACAACCCAGACCGCCAGCUAAGGUCCCAAAGUCAUGGUUAAGUGGGAAACGAUGUGGGAAGGCCCAGACAGCCAGGAUGUUGGCUUAGAAGCAGCCAUCAUUUAAAGAAAGCGUAAUAGCUCACUGGUCGAGUCGGCCUGCGCGGAAGAUGUAACGGGGCUAAACCAUGCACCGAAGCUGCGGCAGCGACACUAUGUGUUGUUGGGUAGGGGAGCGUUCUGUAAGCCUGUGAAGGUGUACUGUGAGGUAUGCUGGAGGUAUCAGAAGUGCGAAUGCUGACAUAAGUAACGAUAAAGCGGGUGAAAAGCCCGCUCGCCGGAAGACCAAGGGUUCCUGUCCAACGUUAAUCGGGGCAGGGUGAGUCGACCCCUAAGGCGAGGCCGAAAGGCGUAGUCGAUGGGAAACAGGUUAAUAUUCCUGUACUUGGUGUUACUGCGAAGGGGGGACGGAGAAGGCUAUGUUGGCCGGGCGACGGUUGUCCCGGUUUAAGCGUGUAGGCUGGUUUUCCAGGCAAAUCCGGAAAAUCAAGGCUGAGGCGUGAUGACGAGGCACUACGGUGCUGAAGCAACAAAUGCCCUGCUUCCAGGAAAAGCCUCUAAGCAUCAGGUAACAUCAAAUCGUACCCCAAACCGACACAGGUGGUCAGGUAGAGAAUACCAAGGCGCUUGAGAGAACUCGGGUGAAGGAACUAGGCAAAAUGGUGCCGUAACUUCGGGAGAAGGCACGCUGAUAUGUAGGUGAAGUCCCUCGCGGAUGGAGCUGAAAUCAGUCGAAGAUACCAGCUGGCUGCAACUGUUUAUUAAAAACACAGCACUGUGCAAACACGAAAGUGGACGUAUACGGUGUGACGCCUGCCCGGUGCCGGA